GUUCACCACAACCCAGUAAUGCAUGGCCUCACAAAGAAGUCGGCCGAGGCAAAGGGCAAGAGAUCGGUCGAAGAGAUAAAGGACGAAGCUUAUAUCAAAAAAGGCAAAAUGAAGGUGGUGAAUGACAACUGAUUCAAAAGAAAAUCGACUGAUGUUGCUGAAGAAACCAAGGUUUAUAUAAUUGCUUAUUUUCUUUUCAAAAGAUUAUGACUUUUAAAUGAAGUCCCAAUGUGUUUAUUGGGAUGUUGAUGAACUGAAGAUACAAAGGUGUGUUUUUGUGUGACGGUUUGUGUGUGAAUUUUCUGUUUAUUAUCAGGAGUCUUCAGUAUUGUGAACUCCAUGCUCCUCGUAUGGAUUUUUUUUCUUCUUCGAACUGGAUUAUUUUCAUUAAGAGUUCAAUAUGUAUGUCAUGGUUAUGUUAGAUAUAUUCUUAUAGUUAUCAAACUGGAGUUUUAGCCUUUAAAUUUAAACAAAACCACCAACUAGAGAUGGAGUUAGUUGCCCAAACCCGAAGGGGCACCUGAAAUUUGGAGGUUUGGGCAAAAAUGUCCUGAGAUGAUGUUGAAGAAUCAAAUAGGCUUUAAAGCAUUGGGUUUAACAGGGGUGUAGACAAGGGGCAAGUAGCGGACUUCUCCUUGAAGAAUGGUAAAAUUGUCUUAUAGUUCUUUAGAAAUUUAUGAAAUUAUAAAUUAUUAUAAUAGUAAAAUUGCACUUUACCUUAAAAAAUUUAUGAUUUAUCUCUAUACUUCCUAGAGUGGUUUUUUGUACUUCAUCCCUAUUUAAUAAUAUCUUAUAAGAAGGACAGCCCAAUGAAGCAUACUUAUUUUGGUUCAUUCUAAUGCAUUUGGGUCCAUUGGACCAGCUAUUCCAGUACUUAAAAGCCUUAAAAACCUGACCUUUUUCAAGCAAUUCGAUACGAAAUAGAACCCAAUACACACUCAUAUCGAACGCAUAUCUUAACAAACCAAGUAAUGAUAAUUACAUAUAAGCCUGACAUGAGACGCAAACAAGUUUUUUUUUCCUUUUAUUUAGGGGUUAGUUUUGGACACUCAACAAAUGUAUUAUUUUCUGCUAGAAUUUAACCUCGAAUUUUUGUUCAGCCUUCACAGAAUUUAACUUUAAUAAAGUUUGAACCCACAUUUUAUAUGGCAUUGAUGGAUAAAAAUAUUACCACUUAACUAAUACUUUCAUUGAAGGUGCAAGACUGGAUCAGAUAACCUCCCCUCUACACUUUUCAAUUACAACAAGAACAUAAGCAACAAUCUUCAAUGUAUUAGCUAUUUAUACAUAAAAUAAAAUACAAAAACCCUCCAAAGCUAUUCAACUAUUUACCUUGUAGAGUUUCUCUUGGUUUGACCACUUGAUCUCUUAAUAGAAUCAAUCCUUUCAAGCCUAAUCUGUUCUCUAACUUUAGCUAUAAAUUCAUCAGCCUUUUUAUCAACAUCAGAUCCUCCAUCUAUACCUUUGCUUGGACCAACAGCUUCCUCAUUGUUUUCACCAUUGUUGGUACUUGAAACAAUGCAUGUUUGGCCAACAAUUUCAUCUUCAUUCUCACUCUCUGUACCAUCAUCAUCAUCACUAGUUUCCAUCCCAUGUUCAAUAUCACCAUCAACAUAGUCCCUUUGUGUCAAUAAUGGCGGUGGAGGCGGCGGCGGUGAUGGAGACCUGUAACUUGUCUUGUUCUUCACUAUAUCACCAUCCCUUGACCGCCAUGGAAUUAGUGAAGGAAGAACAACGCUAUUCUCACCAUUAUUGACCUCCUUAACACUUGAUGAUUUCAAGCUCCUAACAGGCAAAAGCAAAGGCUUUUCAAUUUCACCAUCACCUUUCUUUUUAGCUACCAAAACAGUAGGUAAUUCAUUCCUAUAAUAUUGACUACUCCAUAUCUCGACCUUACUCUCGUCAGACCCAGACAUGUUUUCAGCUUCAUCAUCGAAAAACGACGAUACCUGAAGGAAUCUAGACACGAGACACUGUACAUUAUCGAACAUGGACUGGUUGUUGUUGGGUUCUGUAUCGGUUUCAUCGUUUCGUUGACUAAAAAGCCCGUAAGAAACAGCUAUGCCGAAUAACAACAAGCGGAGAAGCUCCCAGCUACGGUUCAACAGGGUUUGGUUGAUGAAUUCAGGUGCUUGUGAGGGAAAAACUGGGAUUAUAACCAAGAAAAUGAUGAUUACAACAGCUUUUUUGUAAAGGAAACUUGUGUUGUGCUUGUUUGGGUUUGUUUGGUUUUGUUUUAAUAGUUGAUGAUGUUUGGUGUAAGAAUCAGUUUCUGCCAUUGAAGAGUUUUGUUACACGAUUGCAUGCUGAAUGUAUAUUUUACCCCAUAGAGCCCUAAUCUAAAUGUUACACGAUUGCAUGCUGUAUGUAUGUCAGUUACCUGAAGUUUGAAUACAACAAGGAGACUUCCAUUAGCAGAUGAAGGAUCAUCAGUGGCACAAUCUAACAGGCAUUUAUGAAUAUAUUUCUCCUCAUCAGAAUUCCGUGGCAACUCUAUUAUUCGAUCUACCAAGUUCCUCCGAAUACAUAAACAGCAUAAUUCAGAGACCAAUAUUUCUGUCCAGUCCAUCCAGGACCUGCAUUGGCCAUCCUCACUUGGACCAUACUUGAAAUUCUUUUCCCGGACUUUAGUACAGAGCAUCCGCUGAUAUGUGAAUGCUUCAGUCAAAAGCCUACAUUCCACUUUCACCCAAACAACAGUCACAGCCUCACUAAUCGAAACCAACUGUGAUCCAUCAUCACGACCAGACCAGCGUAACACCAUGUGAGCAGCCUCGGGAUUCUGCCGUUCUAACAGAACUCGUGCAAUCUUAGGAUGAGUUGUUGGGCCAGAUAUCUCUGGAAGAAGUUGAAAAGAUCCCUAAGAAAUACGAUUUAGCUAAAAAUAAUCAGCAUGUGAAAUUAUAAUAAAAGUGUGAGAGUAUAGCCUUAAGGACAAAAAGUAGUUCUUUACUACUAUGCCGGUAAAGCCUCAUCUGUGUGAUCGUCCAAAAGACAGAAAAUGAAUGAUUCGAGUAAUGAAUGCCUGUUUAUACCAAAGGAGGUAGCAAAGUCAUCCACAAUAUCUCUCCAUUCUUCUUCAGGCCUACUCCAAUGCCGAUCAAACAAGUAAUAUACAAACUGUAUCUCAAUUAAGAAAAUCAAAGGAAUUUGCGCAACUGAAAGCAUGUCCAAUCAAUAGAAGCAAACCACAUCAAAAAGAGAAGGAUACAAUUGCUUGCUUUGCAACCACCAAAUCAGAACUACCACGUAGAAAGAGGAUGCCCACAGCAGCCUGGAGACUUUCAAAUGGGUAACACCCUAUCAAUCCCUCUAUUUUAGACCGAGAAAAGGAGGAGCUGUCCUUCAGUAAAAAUGCAAAAUAUGACUCUUCUCCAAGCUCCUGAUCACAUGCUUGUUCGAUGUCAAGAUUUGCUAGUGCAUCUUCAAUAAAUAGAGAGCCAUCCUGUCUAGUGGAGUCGGCUGAGCGAUCUACUACAUCAGGCCAUGCACGUGCAGUUGCAGCCGAUAUUCUUUCACGGACAAGAUUAUGCCAGGAUGUGAAAUUAGCAUGAAUAGUGUAAAAGUAAAUUAUACCCGAAUGGGAAAAAACCACAGGUAGAGGAGAAGAAAAUUCGUUAUGUCGAAUUCGAAUUAAUUUACAAGCUUAUAAAUAGACUAAACCUUAUUCUAAAAAUAAAAUAAAAGAAAUAUAAUUCUAUAGUUUAUUUUAUUUUACCACUGUAUUUGAUUUAAAUAAGUAUUUGGGUCACUUAAUUCUAACAAUGAGACCUCACAUGUUCCAAGAAUUGGUGCCUCAUACACCACAUUAUGAUCUCAGGAUGCUGAAAAUUUUGUAACAGUUGUUGCUCUUAAAAAGAUGCUAAUAUAUGGUUAAAUAUCUUCUUAAUUGAAUCAAACUUGCUUCGUCUUCAAUAUACUUUCUUUGAAGGUGAUGCAAGUCAUGGAGCUGUGCCAAAGGACUAAAUCAAUAUUCGGGAUGUGUUUUAUAAAAAUAUAAACAAAUCAAUAUGCCCUAAAUGACUAAAUCUAGACAAGUAAAAGGAUACAAUGACAAACCAAAGAAACCAAGUUAUUCUCCAAGGAGACAUCAAAAAAAGAAUAAAGACGUUGAACAUCAGCAUUCAUUUGAUCAUCUCUAUCUUCUUUAUUUUUGAAAAAUAUCACCAUAUCUUCUAGAAAUGAGGCCAGCGUCCAUGCACUCAUCGAACAGGCGUAGGCGAAGUUUAUUGUUACCACUCGCCAAUGGGAUUCUACAAAUCGGACAAAGAUCACAUCUUUGACAACUCUCGGCACAUAACGAGGUAUGUCCGCAAGAGUUCAACACAUACUUCACAUAAUGCCCACAUCGUCCUAAGUCUCUAGUUGCUCGACAGUAUUCGGUUUUCACCUCAUUGAAUAACUCACUAAGGUCAACAGAUGCCAAGUGUUCUAAAGCUUCCUGAAAUUUAAACUAGACAUUAUAAUUUCCUAGCCUAUUCCAAAGCUAUACAAUAAAUUAUUCAAAAUUCACCCAAACUGAAUUUAACCUAAAACACUAUUAUUUACAACAAAAAUGUGAACUUAAUAAUAAACUAACCAAUUCUAUGUAAACAAAUGUGCUCUUAAAAUGAGUUUGAAUUUGUCUUUUGCAAAUGUGAGUGGGUUCGGGUAAAAUUUUAAGUCUAUAUCGGGUUAGGUCGAGCUUAGGCAAAGUAUAAAAUAUGUUAAUAUCAUGUUUAGGCCUGGACUGAACUCAACCCGACUUGACCUAUAAGCACUUCUAACUUAAAGUGAUUAAAAUAUUUAAUUUUAAAAAGUAUAGUGACUAAAUAAAAAAUUAAUAGUUUUGUGAGUAAAAUAGGAAGAAGGAUAUAAUUAGUUGUCUAUUUGUAUAGUUUAAAAAAAAAACCAUUUCAACUUCUUCAACAAAAAAUUAAGAGCUAAUUUAAGCUUUUAAAAAUGUAUAUAGAUUAAUUUUACGGCGGGCAAAAUGCAAUCCCUCCCUACUGCCUUUUUACCAUUAAAAAUGUCAUUUGAUUUCUUUAGAGUAAAACACUGGAGAAAACAACGAAAUGAAAAUGGUAGGCGCGUUCUCCUUUCAACAGUAAAAUAAGACUUUUAAAAUAAACAAAAGAAAGUCCAUCUACGUCUGAAAAUUUGGGAUGACAAAAUGAUUCAAAACCUCGACACAAUAUCGCGCGAUGGACUGGUGCGAAGCUUUGGGUAUAUAAGUUUUGAGUUUUGGGCAAAACAGUGAUAAACAGGUCUGCGACGGCACAACAAUUCUCUACUCUACUGUACCCUACAGCCGUAAGCAAUCCAUUACUCCUUUCUCUUUGCUUUGAUAUAAUCAAGUUUGGUUUGUAUUUUUCUUUGAUUACCAGUUUCUCUCUCUCUUUCUGUGUACUAUGUAAUCGUUCUUUUCUAGGGAGAUAUUUCUUUUCUUCUUUUCCCAACAUUAGAAAGCAUGUUUUUAGUUUAUCUAUUCAAAAUUUUAUGAUCUUUUUAAUAUCAUUUUUCUUCCUAUUCUCAGAUUGUAGUUCGAUGGGGAAAAAGGUGAAGAAAAAUAAAGAUGAAGAUAAAGAUAAAAGCUAUCGUGAAAGAUUAGCAGUACCGAUUUUUUUUUUCCAAUCAAGUUCUAUUUUUCCCACUAAAUUCUUUUUUUUUUUUGUUUAAUAAUAGUUUGAAUUUUUGGUUGCUUUCAAUAUGCAGAUAUGUGAUAAAGUAGUAGGAUAAUUGAUAUCUAUGCUACUGGAUGGUGAUAACACUUAUCUAACCAAGGUAUGGCUUUCCCUCUUUCUUUUAUAAUUUGUUUUAGGCUUGGCUUGGUAUACAGCGAAAGAUGAAAAACUAAAACAGUAGAAAAAUAGGAAGAUUGGAAAACAAAUUUUUUAUUUCCAUAAGUGUAAUGAAAGGAAGAAAACAAAUAUUUAAAAAAUGCAUAUACACUUUUCUCAUAUUUUCUCUCCUCUCGGAAUCAAAUUACAUUUUGCCCUCUUUACUAAAGACCGGUCAAAUUAAUUCCUAUAUCUUAGAUCAAAGAGCAAAUGGGUCCUUCCUGUUAAAAGUUUCAUCUAUUUUUAUUGUUAAAAACCGACAUGCCUAAUAGAAUAACCGAACAGUCACAACUACUGGUUUUUAACCUUUGGAAUGAAUUGAAUCUAACAUACAAGGACUAAUUUGUCAAUUUUUGAGUGAAGGGGGCAAAAUGCAAUCCGUCUUCUAAUACAAGGGCCGCCAUGGUACUUUUAACCAUGAAAAUCCUGCAAUUUCAGGCACUGUUUUGAUAACAUUAGAAAACGCAUUAAUAGUUGGUUUACUUUUUAUUGUUUUCUAAUCUCUUUUUGAAUGUAGGGGUGUGUGCAUGAAAGGGUGAUGGCAGUAACGAAAGCAAAGUAUCAACUCCAUGAUCCACAGUUCAUACUGCAAUUGUUGAGAAAUCUGAUGGAACCUAUUAUUGCAGAAAAUGGCAGUGGUGACGACGUCCAAGAUGCAUUUAAAGCCCUUAAGUCAUAUUUGACGCAAUAUGCAAGUCCAGUUCAAAAGAAGCGAAGUGCCAAGCACCUUCCUGACUCAAUCUCACUCACAGGUAUGGUUUUUAAGGAAGUACCACAUGUUGAUUAAUAACAUUUAUUGAUGUGCUUGAGACUGCUUGGGGAAUGCCAUAGAUGGAGUUCCCAAACAUGUUUCGAUGCUUAAGUCAGUGUUUGGAGAGAAAUCAUCAUAGUAACAGUUGGUUAAGGGCAUGUUAUGUACCUAGGUUUCUUGUAGAAAUUAUUUUUGUGCUUCAUUUCCUUAAAUUUGCUUUUCUGCUUGGCUUUGGCUAUUCUCUAAAUUCAAUUACUAGUACUGUUUUAUACAUACAAUUGUAGAUUUAGUUCAUUUUCUUCAUUUGGAUCAUUUUAAGCCCUUAUAUUUUUCGAAUUUUAAAAUUUCAUUCUUAACGUUAAACACGUUCAUUAACCAAUUAGUUGGAAUUGUAGUGAGUAAUAUAUGGAAAUAACAAGCUGACGUGGCAUUAUACACAUGUCAAUAUAUUUGCUGCAUCAGAUUUUAAAAAUAGCAUAACGUAAUGAAUUUAACAGUAAUUAUCUGGUGAGAACUGAAGUUUGAAAAUUUGAAAAGUACAGGGACUAAAAUUUUAAUAGCGCACAAUAGCAUAAACCUUUUAGCAGCUCUUUGAUAUACAUAUAUACUAAUCUUGAUAUCAUUUAAAUUAGAUUUUCUUAUUUGUUUUCUUUAUAUUUUCAAUUAAAGCAUUGCAAAAGGAAAUGGUGGUGCAGCCGGAGGCUACUGUGGACCAAACGCAGCAAUUAAUCACAGAGGAUAAGUUGUUUAGCAUAGUAAAAAAUAUGGUAAACGAAGUUUUGGGUCCUUAUUUAGGAAGGCUACAGAACCAAAAGCUUACAAAUCCUGUAAGUAUUCAUGGAGAUCCUGAGUCUAGCAGAGGAGCUGAGAUUUGCAACAACAUACAGGUAAGAGUGUCAUGUGCAUGUAGGAAUUAUGUGCGUAUCAGAACUUGCAUAAAGUAGAGCUUGUCUGUCAUCCCUUUAAUUUCUUUGACGGACAGUUUAUUUCAUCUUUCGCAAACUAUAAACUGAUACGACCAUUAAUAUUCAUUUCUUUUAUUAAUUUUCUGGGUUACAGGUAAAGAUCAUACUAUAAAUAUAUUGGCCAGAAAUGUUUGAACUUUCUUUGUAAGCAAACUCUGAACUUGGAUUAUUUUACCUGAACAUCAAUAAGCAGACAGAAAUUGUUGGAACUUAUAUAUUCGGAUUUUUAUGUCUUAUGAUCCUUUCAUGUCCUUUUUCUUAUGAUUCUUAGAUUGUACAUUCGUUCAAGGAAUACAUGGAGGAUUUUAAUGAAUUGGAAUGAAAUAAAGAUGCGCGCAAUUGUAGAAAUAUCAUAAUGUUGUUUCAACAUUGUUUGAUCGAUUCCACUUGUUUGUAAGAGGCCAAAUAAAAACAAUAAAUAUUAGACAAAUAUACACACAAAUGUCCUGAGUAGGAAAGCUGUAAAUUUCUAAUUCUCUGUCUAAUGCUGUGUACUUCCCUACUUAUUUACAGGGUCAUCAUGAUGCUGAUCCUGUAAAUUUUGGCGUGUAUAUUUUUUUUAAAUUCAAUUUGCUUAGAUUUGGGUCAGAUCUGAUUCUCUUCUGCAUAUAGGUUGCUCUGUAUAUGAAAGACUAUGGUGGUGGUUUUGAAUUCUGUAAUCCGUCAGGUAAUGGCUGCAAGUUGAUAUUCUAUUAUGUUAAUCUACGGUUAUAAUUUGAUGUUUACAUUCUUAAACUGUCAGUAUAACAAUCUUAUUUGUAAAUAUUAAUUAUGUUUUCUAGACGACCAGAUAUAUGAUGAUUCGGGUGAAGGCAUCAGUGGUGCUAUAGCAUAUCCACACAAUAUGGAACUGUCACAAGAGAACACCUUUACUGUUGAUCCUGUAGGUUUUGGCGUGUAUAUAUUUUUUAAAUUCAAUUUGCUUAGUUUUGGAUCAGAUCUGAUUCUCUUUUGCAUAUAGGUUCUUCCGUCACUGCUGUGUUCUGAUAUGGAAAACUUUGGUUAUUUUGGACUCUGUGGUCUGUCAGGUAAUGGCUGCAAGUUGAUAUUCUAUUAUGUUAAUCUACAGUUAUAAUUUGGUGUCUACAUUCUUAAACUGUCACACUAUAACAAUCUUACUUGUAAAUAUUGAUUAUGUUUUCUAGACAAUGAGAUAUGUGGUCUUUCGGGCGAAGGCACCAGUGAUGCCAGAGCAAAUCAACUCAAUAUGAAACUGUCACAAGAGAACACGUUUACCGUUCAAGGGUACAACAUUUAUGAACGCAACUCUAAUUUGCUCACUAAUAUAUUUCAAAAGCACCCUCGUAUUGAUAGCAAGUUUUUCUAUUUAGGUGUGCAGAUAUUCAGAACUCAUUACCUGCCGUAGCUGAAGUUCACCAUAACCCAGUAAUGCAUGGCCUCACAAAGAAGUCGGCCGAGGCAAAGGGCAAG
Molecule: long non-coding RNA, 8966 nt
Filed under: Gossypium raimondii (Peruvian cotton)
Lineage: Eukaryota; Viridiplantae; Streptophyta; Magnoliopsida; Malvales; Malvaceae
Description: long non-coding RNA (GRAI_LNC002440)
Source: RNAcentral